RNAcentral lists this ribosomal RNA (468 nucleotides) under uncultured bacterium. RNAcentral's name for it is "partial 16S ribosomal RNA". It matches the Rfam family "Bacterial small subunit ribosomal RNA", at positions 28 to 507 of the family's 1533-position model. The record is from RNAcentral.
GACGAACGCUGGCGGCGUGCUUAACACAUGCAAGUCGAACGGAAAGGCCCGGCUUUUGUGGGGUGCUCGAGUGGCGAACGGGUGAGUAACACGUGAGUAACCUGCCCUUGACUUUGGGAUAACUUCAGGAAACUGGGGCGAAUACCGGAUAGGAGCUCCUGCUGCAUGGUGGGGGUUGGAAAGUUUCGGCGGUUGGGGAUGGACUCGCGGCUUAUCAGCUUGUUGGUGGGGUAGUGGCUUACCAAGGCUUUGACGGGUAGCCGGCCUGAGAGGGUGACCGGCCACAUUGGGACUGAGAUACGGCCCAGACUCCUACGGGAGGCAGCAGUGGGGAAUAUUGCACAAUGGGCGGAAGCCUGAUGCAGCAACGCCGCGUGCGGGAUGACGGCCUUCGGGUUGUAAACCGCUUUCGCCUGUGACGAAGCGUGAGUGACGGUAAUGGGUAAAGAAGCACCGGCUAACUACGUG